This 227-nucleotide ribosomal RNA is filed under the name Cutibacterium avidum. RNAcentral describes it as "partial 16S ribosomal RNA". It matches the Rfam family "Bacterial small subunit ribosomal RNA", at positions 1 to 226 of the family's 1533-position model. Lineage: Bacteria; Bacillati; Actinomycetota; Actinomycetes; Propionibacteriales; Propionibacteriaceae. The record is from RNAcentral.
UUUUUCAUUGGAGAGUUUGAUCCUGGCUCAGGACGAACGCUGGCGGCGUGCUUAACACAUGCAAGUCGAACGGAAAGGCCCCUUUGGGGGUACUCGAGUGGCGAACGGGUGAGUAACACGUGAGUAACCUGCCCUUGACUUCGGGAUAACUUCAGGAAACUGGGGCUAAUACCGGAUAGGAAUCCUUGCUGCAUGGUGGGGGUUGGAAAGCUUCGGCGGUUUUGGAU